CCCUUAGAUGUCCUGGGCUGCACGCGCGCUACACUGAUGUGUCCAGUAAGCACCUAACCUAUUCCGAGAGGAGCGGGUAACCUUAGCAAAGCACAUCAUGAUGGGGAUAGAUUAUUGCAAUUAUUAGUCUUGAACGAGGAAUUCCUAGUAAGCACAAGUCAUCAGCUUGUGUUGAUUACGUCCCUGCCCUUUGUACACACCGCCCGUCGCUCCUACCGAUUGAAUGUUCCGGUGAGCUCUUCGGACUGCGCGGUCUGCAGUUUCUGCGUUCCGUGCGGAAAGUUGUGCAAACCUUAACAUUUAGAGGAAGGAGAAGUCGUAACA
Molecule: ribosomal RNA, 324 nt
Filed under: uncultured eukaryote
Lineage: Eukaryota
Description: partial 18S ribosomal RNA
Rfam family: Eukaryotic small subunit ribosomal RNA
Source: RNAcentral